CCUCUCACUGCCAGAGGAGCUUCUCUGGCCUGAGCAAGAGUUUCGCUCGCCAUACAUCAAACAAUUACUGAGUGUCCUUCUUGUUCCCCGUGAUCGAGCUGUGUGCCUCUACUCCUCUCUGGAUUUUGGACUGCCUCCCUCGAUCCUCGACCCCUGCUUGCCCACGGACUAACCUCUUGCCCUGCCCCUCUGGAUUGACGAAGGAUCCAUCCAUCACGCACUUACAACAAACCCUGAUGGAACAUCCGCAGAUACAGCAGAGACAGACAGCGGUUACUAUGGAAACAAAACCAUUUGAAGCCAGAUUAAUGAUCUGUACACAUUUCCCUUUAAAGCUCAAUUAUCAAUCUUAUUUUCAUGUCAUCUUAGGAAAAUAUGACAAUUUUUUUUUAGUCUACAGCGAUGGUGAUUUUCAA
Long non-coding RNA from Nerophis ophidion (straightnose pipefish), 416 nucleotides. RefSeq lists it as uncharacterized. The transcript has 3 exons. Lineage: Eukaryota; Metazoa; Chordata; Actinopteri; Syngnathiformes; Syngnathidae. The record is from RefSeq and is a predicted model, not a curated record.